AAGGGAAUAUUGGGCAAUGGGCGAAAGCCUGACCCAGCCAUGCCGCGUGAGCGAUGACGGUCCUCGAGAUUGUAAAGCUCUUUUCUGAGGAAAGAACAUCCCGGGUAGGAAAUGCCCCGGGCUUGACGGUACCUCAGGAAUAAGGAACGGCUAACUCCGUGCCAGCAGCCGCGGUAAUACGGAGGUUCCAAGCGUUGUUCGGAAUUACUGGGCGUAAAGGGAGCGCAGGCGGACAAGUCAGUCUAAAGUGAAAUCCCGGGGCUUAACCUCGGACUUGCUUCGGAUACUGCUUGUCUUGAGUUCGUGAUAGGAAGAUGGAAUUCAGGGUGUAGCGGUGAAAUGCACAGAUAUCCUGAGGAACACCGGUGGCGAAAGCGGUCUUCUGGCGCGAAACUGACGCUGAGGCUCGAAAGCGUGGGUAGCAAACGG
RNAcentral lists this ribosomal RNA (429 nucleotides) under uncultured bacterium. Its description in RNAcentral is "bacterial SSU rRNA". It matches the Rfam family "Bacterial small subunit ribosomal RNA", at positions 355 to 775 of the family's 1533-position model. The record is from RNAcentral.